GAGGGGAAACGGCAUUAUGUGCUUGCACAUUUUGGACGUCGACCGGCGCACGGGUGAGUAUCGCGUAUCCAACCUUCCCUCCACUCGGGGAUACCCCGUUGAAAGACGGCCUAAUACCCGAUGUUGUCCACAUAUGGCAUCUGACGUGGACCAAAGAUUCAUCGGUGGAGGAUGGGGAUGCGUCUGAUUAGCUUGUUGGUGCGGGUAACGGCCCACCAAGGCUACGAUCAGUAGGGGUUCUGAGAGGAAGGUCCCCCACAUUGGAACUGAGACACGGUCCAAACUCCUACGGGAGGCAGCAGUGAGGAAUAUUGGUCAAUGGACGGAAGUCUGAACCAGCCAAGUAGCGUGCAGGAUUGACGGCCCUAUGGGUUGUAAACUGCUUUUGUUGGGGAGUAAAGUUGGGCACGCGUGCCUUUUAGCAUUACCCUCGAAUAAGGACCGGCA
Molecule: ribosomal RNA, 447 nt
Filed under: Prevotella intermedia
Lineage: Bacteria; Pseudomonadati; Bacteroidota; Bacteroidia; Bacteroidales; Prevotellaceae
Description: bacterial SSU rRNA
Rfam family: Bacterial small subunit ribosomal RNA
Source: RNAcentral